CAGGGCCUGAGCACGCAGAGCCGCCGCUGUGUCUCCAGGCGGCAGUAGCGGUUCUGGUUGGAGAUGCGGGUGGAGAAGCCCACGCCGCAGGUGGCCGAGCAGACGCUCCACUCGGUGCCCCACGGCUGGCAGAGUUGAUGCAUGGAUCUAAAUACAUCUCCUGGGAAGCUCUACUGUUUCUAUAGAAAUGAAGGCACCCACUCAGCAAAUUGACUUCUUUAGACAGCCGUGUUUCUCCAUGCUGUGCCAUUGAACACACCAUGUCCUUGUCUAGGUGGGGUGUGCUGCAGAGGGUCCCAGCUCCCUUCCCAGUGCUGGACUUCCCAGGCAUGCACUUCCCAUCAACCAGCUCCUCCUGACCACAUCCCCAGCCAAGUCCAUAACGGCACAGCUGAUACCUUUAGUGUAUGUGUGGGAUCCAGCUGAGAAAAACAAGCCUCCAGGUCUCACCAUGGUUAUGAAAGCAGCGAUGUCGCCCGGAAAGUAUGUACCAGGGAGCAGAGAGCUGCAGUGCCGAAAGGGGUGAGCGGGGGAGGUGGGCACCCGCUCAAAUAUGACUCAAAAUCAGGGGAAAUUAUUUCUGAUGAACGUAAUUACUUCGGCUCCAGCCCUGAUCAAUACGAGGAGAUGAAACACUCAUAAACCAGCCGAGAAUGCGAGCUAUGCGCCGUGAUUUGUAAAAGAUGUUUGGCUCUGGGCUGCUGCUGUCAGGCUGCCUGUGGGGCAGGGACCCGAUGGGGAGGCUGCAAACCCACAGCCCCCAGCGAGCAUCUCCUGCAAGGUAGGAGAGGAGGUCAUCCCACACGGGUCUCAGUGUUCAUUAAGAACAUGCAGCAGCUGGGCUGGAUGGAACGCAUGCUCUGAUCACAGCAGGAGAGCCACGACAGCUCCUGUAGGAUGGGGUUUGGGUGGGCACCCAGCACAGCUGGGCACGGUGCACUGGGUGAGAGGGUCUUUGGGGAGGGGUGUGCAGAAAGGGAGUGUUUGGCCGCUGGGUCUGCAUGCGUCAUGCAGGGUUGGUGACAGCAGCCAGACCCACAGCUUUGUGCAGCCUGCUUCUGGCCAGGGCUUCUGCUUCUGUUUCAAGCAACCAGAGCCCCAGAGAAGCAUCUCAGAAGGCAGUUCUUGGGAGCCAGAGCCCAAAAAGGAGCACAGUCCAACACAGCAGGGGCACACAGCUGCUUUUGCUGAGCCCAGA
Long non-coding RNA from Tympanuchus pallidicinctus (lesser prairie-chicken), 1198 nucleotides. RefSeq lists it as uncharacterized. Lineage: Eukaryota; Metazoa; Chordata; Aves; Galliformes; Phasianidae. The transcript has 3 exons. The record is from RefSeq and is a predicted model, not a curated record.